GCUGGGUGCAGUGGAGCACUCCUGUGAUCCCAGCAGCUCGGGAGGCUGAGGCAGGAGGAUGGCGAGUUCAAAGCCAGCCUCAGCAACGUAGUGAAGCCCUAAGCAACUUAGCGAGACCCUGUCUCCA
This 127-nucleotide small RNA is filed under the name Marmota monax (woodchuck). Lineage: Eukaryota; Metazoa; Chordata; Mammalia; Rodentia; Sciuridae. The record is from RNAcentral.